GAUGAACGCUGGCGGCGUGCCUAAUACAUGCAAGUCGAGCGAACAGACGAGGAGCUUGCUCCUCUGACGUUAGCGGCGGACGGGUGAGUAACACGUGGAUAACCUACCUAUAAGACUGGGAUAACUUCGGGAAACCGGAGCUAAUACCGGAUAAUAUAUUGAACCGCAUGGUUCAAUAGUGAAAGACGGUUUUGCUGUCACUUAUAGAUGGAUCCGCGCCGCAUUAGCUAGUUGGUAAGGUAACGGCUUACCAAGGCAACGAUGCGUAGCCGACCUGAGAGGGUGAUCGGCCACACUGGAACUGAGACACGGUCCAGACUCCUACGGGAGGCAGCAGUAGGGAAUCUUCCGCAAUGGGCGAAAGCCUGACGGAGCAACGCCGCGUGAGUGAUGAAGGUCUUCGGAUCGUAAAACUCUGUUAUUAGGGAGGAACAAUGUGUAAGUAACUAUGCACGUCUUGACGGUACCUAAUCAGAAAGCCACGGCUAACUACGUG
This 496-nucleotide ribosomal RNA is filed under the name uncultured bacterium. RNAcentral's name for it is "partial 16S ribosomal RNA". It matches the Rfam family "Bacterial small subunit ribosomal RNA", at positions 28 to 507 of the family's 1533-position model. The record is from RNAcentral.